RNAcentral lists this ribosomal RNA (403 nucleotides) under uncultured bacterium. Its description in RNAcentral is "partial 16S ribosomal RNA". It matches the Rfam family "Bacterial small subunit ribosomal RNA", at positions 28 to 526 of the family's 1533-position model. The record is from RNAcentral.
GACGAACGCUGGCGGCGUGCCUAAUACAUGCAAGUCGAACGCAGUGGGGACGGGUGAGUAACACGUGGGUAACCUGCCAUCAGAGGGGAUAAAAGUUGGAAACAGGUGCUAAACCGAUACUGAUGGAUGGACUCGCGGUGGAUUAGCUAGUGGGGGGGGUAACGGCUCACCAAGGCAACGAUGCAUAGCUGACCUGAGAGGGUGAUCGGCCACACUGGGACUGAGACACGGCCCAGACUCCUACGGGAGGCAGCAGUAGGGAAUCUUGGGCAAUGGGCGCAAGUCUGACCGAGCCACGCCGCGGGUGUGAAGAAGGGCUUCGGAUCGUAAAACUCUGUUGUUGGGGAAGCGGUAUCUAACCAGAAAGCACCGGCUAACUCCGUGCCAGCAGCCGCGGUAAUAC